GUGAAUCAUCGAAUUUUUGAACGCAAAUUGCACUCUCUUCGGAGAGUAUGCCUGUUUGAGGGUCAGCCUAAAAAAAUCGACGGAGUCGCUGUUUCGCGGUUACAUUCGUCGGGAAUUGGGGCAUCUUAAACCUUUUGGGUUUUUAAGCGGCUUUAAAUUUUCUUUACCGUUCCACGAAAGGUUCUAAGAUUUUUAUUUUUAAACACGUUUAAGGUAUCGAUCUUUAUUAGAC
Molecule: unclassified non-coding RNA, 232 nt
Filed under: Glomus sp.
Lineage: Eukaryota; Fungi; Glomeromycota; Glomeromycetes; Glomerales; Glomeraceae
Description: partial contains 5.8S ribosomal RNA and internal transcribed spacer 2
Rfam family: 5.8S ribosomal RNA (bases 1-65)
Source: RNAcentral